This 2813-nucleotide long non-coding RNA is filed under the name Salmo salar (Atlantic salmon). Its description in RNAcentral is "lncRNA (ENSSSAG00000096102.1)". The record is from RNAcentral. Lineage: Eukaryota; Metazoa; Chordata; Actinopteri; Salmoniformes; Salmonidae.
UGGAUAAGAGCGUCUACUAAAAUGUAAAUGUUGUCUAACAGAACACAUGUUCUUUAAUGGAAGCCUAUCAAAUAUAAUCCAGUUAGAAUUAGGAAUUCCUCAGGGUAGCUGUUUAGGCCCCUUGCUUUUUUCAAUUUUUACUAAUGACAUGCCACUGACUUUGAGUAAAGCCAGAGUUUCUAUGUAUGUGACUCAGCACUAUACACGUCAGCUACUACAGCGACUGAAAUGACUGCAACACUCAACAAAGAGCUGCAGUUAGUUUCAGAGUAGGUGGCAAGGAAUAAGUUAUCCCUAAAUAUUUCUUAAACUAAAAGCAUUUGUAUUUGGAACAAAACACUCACUAAACCCUAAACCUCAACUAAAUGUUGUAAUAAAUAAUUUGGAAAUUGAGCAAGUUGAGAUGCUAGAUUGUAAACUGUCAUGGUCAAAACAUAUUUAUGCAGUAGUAGCUAAGAUGGGGAGAAGUCUGUCUAUAAUAAAGCGAUGCUCUGCCUUCUUAACAACACUAUCAACAAGGCAGGUCCUACAGGCCCUAGUUUUGUUGCACCUUGACUACUGUUCAGUCGUGUGGUCAGGUGCCACAAAAAAGGACGUAGGAAAAUUGCAAUUGGCUCAGAACAGGGCAGCACGGCUGGCACUUGGAUGUACACAGAGAGCUAAUAUUAAUAAUAUGCAUGUCUCUCCUGCCUGAAAGUGGAGGAGAGAUUGACUUCAUCACUACUUGUAUUUAUGAGAGGUAUUGACAUGUUGAAUGCACUGAGCUGUCAGUCUAAACUACUGGCACACAGCUUGGACAGCCAUGCAUACCCCACAAGUCAUGCCACAAGAGGUCUCUUCACAGUCCCCAAGUCCAGAACAGACUAUGGGAGGCUCACAGUACUACAUAGAGCCAUGACUACAUGGAACUCUAUUCCACAUCAAGUAACUGACGCAAGCAGUAAAAUUAGAUUUAAAAAACAGAAGAAAAAAACACCUCAUUUCCCUCAUUAAAAUGCAAAUCAAUUUAUUACAUUUUUGAGAUGCGUUUUUCUGGAUUUUUGUUGUUGUUAUUCUGUCUCUCACUGUUCAAAUAAACCUACCAUUAAAAUUAUAGACUGAUCCUUUCUUUGUCAUUGGGCAAACGUACAAAAUCAGCAGGGGAUCAAAUACUUUUUUCCCUCACUGUGUGUGUGUGUUUGCGUGUGGUGGUGCUCAGUGCAUUGGAAGAUUUGUAAAUCCAUUGUGAAAGGCUAUGGAGUUUGCGUUGUGCAUUAUUCAGAUGAAAUGUGUCCAUAUAUUGGUCUUUUAGUACCACUUAUCAGUUGUAACUGUGGAUGCUACAUCGGUCUAUGGCUGAGCUCAGUUCAGCAGUGUGUCUUUUUGUUUGAUAGUCAUCUGAGCCUAUCCCUUGUGUAUCUUGGCUACAAUGGUAUUUACAUUUGGUGAAAAAUUGUUUGUCAUUUUCAGUUAAUAUCCUAUGUCAGUGUUUCUCAAUUUCAGUCCUCCAGUACUCCCAGCAGCACACAUUUUUGUUGUAGCCCCAGACAAAAUCACCUGAUUUAACUCAUUGAGGACUUGAUGAUUAGUUGACAAGAUGAAUCAGGUGAGUUGGCCGGGGCUACAACAGAAAAAGGUAUGCUGUUAGGGUACUGGAGGACUGGAGUUGGGAAACACUGGCCUAAGUCACUCUGGUUGUUGGAGCUAUCUGUUGUGUGAUGAACUGGGGCUUUAUCAAGGUUUAUUGAGUAAAGGGAGUAAAUCUGGCUUUGGUAAUAACCAGUGCCUAUCCAGUCAUUGAACUCACCACACGUCACUGUUGUGUGUCCGUAGCUUCACCUAGUGCCAAGUGGACAGUUUUUGGCCAGCUAGGCAACAAGGGCAGUUAAGGUCACCGCUACAGAAUUAAAGUCCCCCAGCCACAUUUAACAACACAACAAGCACAUACGUCACACAACAAACAAAGUGAGAUGCUGAAACAGAUGAAGGCAUUCCAAUCAGUGCAAAGAAGCCUGAAUGUUCCCCUUUAUGUGUGUCCCAAAUGGCACACGAUUUCCUAUAUAGUGCACUAUUCUUUUGACUAGAGCCCUAUGAGCCUUGUGAAAAGUAGUGCCCUAUAUAGGGAAUAGGGUGCUAUGUGGGUCGCAUACUAUGUAUUUAAAAGACUUAUUAUCAUCAUUAAUGUUUUUUAAAUCAUAUUAUUCAUAUUUGCAUAUUUGUAACAUGUGUUUCUUUAUAUCACACAGAACAGAAGGUCAGGGUUCUUUCUCAAUUACAUUUAUUUGGGUCCUGAGUGGCGCAACGGUCUGAGGCACUGCAUUUCAGUGCUAGAGGCGUCACUACAGACACGAAUCCAGGCUGUAUCACAGCGGUCUGAGGCACUGCAUUUCAGUGCUAGAGGCGUCACUACAGACACGAAUCCAGGGUGUAUUACAGCAGUCUAAGGCACUGCAUUUCAGUUCUAGAGGCGUCACUACAGACACAAAUCCAGGCUGUAUCGCAGCAGUCUGAGGCACUGCAUUUCAGUGCUAGAGGCGUCACUACAGACACAAAUCCAGACUGUAUCGCAGCGGUCUAAGGCACUGAAUUUCAGUGCUAGAGGCGUCACUACAGACACGAAUCCAGGCUGUAUUACUGCGGUCUGAGGCACUGCAUUUCAGUGCUAGAGGUGUCACUACAGACACAAAUCCAGGCUGUAUCACAACCAGCUGUGUUUUAGAAGUUUUAGAACACCUACUCAUUCAAGGGUUUUUCUUUAUUUUGACUAUUUUCUACAUUGUAGAAUAAUAGUGAAGACAUCAAAUCUAUGAAAUAACACAUAUAGAAUCAUGUAG